UAGGUGGUUAAACGUUAUAUGCUCUUACCAGCGUAUCGCCGUGUGUACUUCAUCCACAGCAAUCCUCUCCAAUCGGUGCCAAAAUGUCCCAGUUAGAGAGUAAACACCCUAAACAUAUUCUUUGUAAAUCUGUAAAAUCCUUCCUAGAAAGAACCAAGCAGGCCAGCUUUGUGGCAUGAUCCAAAUCUUCUUCAAAACUUGCCGUUUUCGGCAUGUAGCUUGCUAACUCGAAGUUUGUUGUUGUUACCCGAAAAGAACGAAGUUUGAGAACGGCAACACACAGAGAGCAGAAGGUGAGGGAC
This is a long non-coding RNA of Etheostoma spectabile (orangethroat darter), 302 nucleotides long. RefSeq lists it as uncharacterized. The transcript has 3 exons. Lineage: Eukaryota; Metazoa; Chordata; Actinopteri; Perciformes; Percidae. The record is from RefSeq and is a predicted model, not a curated record.